UAGAAGGUAGUAUAUGUGGAAGUACUGAAAGUUUUGGGCUUUCAAGUUCGAGUUCGAAUCUCGGCUUUCUAG
RNAcentral lists this transfer RNA (72 nucleotides) under Xenopeltis hainanensis. Its description in RNAcentral is "tRNA-Gln". Lineage: Eukaryota; Metazoa; Chordata; Lepidosauria; Squamata; Xenopeltidae. The record is from RNAcentral.